AUUCUGCCAGUAGUCAUAUGCUUGUCUCAAAGAUUAAGCCAUGCAUGUCUAAGUAUAAGCAAUUAUACCGUGAAACUGCGAAUGGCUCAUUAAAUCAGUUAUCGUUUAUUUGAUAAUACCUUACUACUUGGAUAACCGUGGUAAUUCUAGAGCUAAUACAUGCUGAAAAUCCCGACUUCGGAAGGGAUGUGUUUAUUAGAUAAAAAACCAAUGCCCUUCGGGGCUCCUUGGUGAUUCAUAAUAACUUUACGGAUCGCAUAGCCUUGCGCUGGCGACGGUUCAUUCAAAUUUCUGCCCUAUCAACUUUCGAUGGUAAGGUAUUGGCUUACCAUGGUUUCAACGGGUAACGGGGAAUUAGGGUUCGAUUCCGGAGAGGGAGCCUGAGAAACGGCUACCACAUCCAAGGAAGGCAGCAGGCGCGCAAAUUACCCAAUCCCGAUUCGGGGAGGUAGUGACAAUAAAUACUGAUACAGGGCUCUUUUGGGUCUUGUAAUUGGAAUGAGUACAAUUUAAACCUCUUAACGAGGAACAAUUGGAGGGCAAGUCUGGUGCCAGCAGCCGCGGUAAUUCCAGCUCCAAUAGCGUAUAUUAAAGUUGUUGCAGUUAAAAAGCUCGUAGUUGAAACUUGGGUCUGGCUGGCGGGUCCGCCUCACCGCGUGCACUCGUCCGGCCGGGCCUUCCUUCUGAAGAACCUCAUGCCCUUUACUGGGCGUGUUGGGGAAUCAGGACUUUUACUUUGAAAAAAUUAGAGUGUUCAAAGCAGGCCUUUGCUCGAAUACGUUAGCAUGGAAUAAUAAAAUAGGGCGUGCGUUUCUAUUUUGUUGGUUUCUAGAGACGCCGCAAUGAUUAACAGGAACAGUCGGGGGCAUCAGUAUUCAGUUGUCAGAGGUGAAAUUCUUGGAUUUACUGAAGACUAACUACUGCGAAAGCAUUUGCCAAGGAUGUUUUCAUUAAUCAGUGAACGAAAGUUAGGGGAUCGAAGACGAUCAGAUACCGUCGUAGUCUUAACCGUAAACUAUGCCGACUAGGGAUCGGGCGAUGUUCUUUUUCUGACUCGCUCGGCACCUUACGAGAAAUCAAAGUUUUUGGGUUCUGGGGGGAUUAUGGUCGCAAGGCUGAAACUUAAAGAAAUUGACGGAAGGUCACCACCAGGCGUGGAGCCUGCGGCUUAAUUUGACUCAACACGGGGAAACUCACCAGGUUCAGAUGAAAUAAGGAUUGACAGAUUGAGAGCUCUUUCUUGAUUUUUCAGGUGGUGGUGCAUGGCCGUUCUUAGUUCGUGGGGUGACUUGUCUGCUUAAUUGCGAUAACGAGCGAGACCUUACUCUGCUAAAUAGCCAGGCUAGCUUUGGCUGGUCGCCGGCUUCUUAGAGAGACUAUCAACUCAAGUUGAUGGAAGUUUGAGGCAAUAACAGGUUAACCUACACAGGCCUGUAACAGUGGGCCUCGUUAAAGAUAACUGCUAGUCUAGCGUCUUAACCUUCUUUGGGGAAGUCCCCUACUGUCGGGAGAAGGCAAGUUUUACUUGUGACGUAGGCAACACCACCUGGUACAGGGAACGCCGGAUCUGCUAUUGCGUGUGCAGAUUG
RNAcentral lists this ribosomal RNA (1589 nucleotides) under Pyrenophora teres f. teres. Its description in RNAcentral is "SSU rRNA". It matches the Rfam family "Eukaryotic small subunit ribosomal RNA", at positions 11 to 1545 of the family's 1831-position model. RNAcentral also lists the same sequence under 2 other names. The record is from RNAcentral. Lineage: Eukaryota; Fungi; Ascomycota; Dothideomycetes; Pleosporales; Pleosporaceae.